ACGCUGGCGGCGUGCCUAAUACAUGCAAGUAGAACGCUGAAAGAGGAGCUUGCUUCUCUGGAUGAGUUGCGAACGGGUGAGUAACGCGUAGGUAACCUGCCUGGUAGCGGGGGAUAACUAUUGGAAACGAUAGCUAAUACCGCAUAAGAGUAGAUGUUGCAUGACAUUUGCUUAAAAGGUGCAAUUGCAUCACUACCAGAUGGACCUGCGUUGUAUUAGCUAGUUGGUGGGGUAACGGCUCACCAAGGCGACGAUACAUAGCCGACCUGAGAGGGUGAUCGGCCACACUGGGACUGAGACACGGCCCAGACUCCUACAGGAGGCAGCAGCAGGGAAUCUUCGGCAAUGGACGGAAGUCUGACCGAGCAACGCCGCGUGAGUGAAGAAGGUUUUCGGAUCGUAAAGCUCUGUUGUAAGAGAAGAACGAGUGUGAGAGUGGAAAGUUCACACUGUGACGGUAUCUUACCAGAAAGGGACGGCUAACUACGUGCCAGCAGCCGCGGUAAUACGUAGGUCCCGAGCGUUGUCCGGAUUUAUUGGGCGUAAAGCGAGCGCAGGCGGUUAGAUAAGUCUGAAGUUAAAGGCUGUGGCUUAACCAUAGUACGCUUUGGAAACUGUUUAACUUGAGUGCAAGAGGGGAGAGUGGAAUUCCAUGUGUAGCGGUGAAAUGCGUAGAUAUAUGGAGGAACACCGGUGGCGAAAGCGGCUCUCUGGCUUGUAACUGACGCUGAGGCUCGAAAGCGUGGGGAGCAAACAGGAUUAGAUACCCUGGUAGUCCACGCCGUAAACGAUGAGUGCUAGGUGUUAGACCCUUUCCGGGGUUUAGUGCCGCAGCUAACGCAUUAAGCACUCCGCCUGGGGAGUACGACCGCAAGGUUGAAACUCAAAGGAAUUGACGGGGGCCCG
RNAcentral lists this ribosomal RNA (906 nucleotides) under uncultured bacterium. Its description in RNAcentral is "bacterial SSU rRNA". It matches the Rfam family "Bacterial small subunit ribosomal RNA", at positions 33 to 923 of the family's 1533-position model. The record is from RNAcentral.